Molecule: ribosomal RNA, 253 nt
Filed under: uncultured bacterium
Lineage: Bacteria
Description: partial 16S ribosomal RNA
Rfam family: Bacterial small subunit ribosomal RNA
Source: RNAcentral
UACGUAGGGUGCGAGCGUUGUCCGGAAUUAUUGGGCAUAAAGGGCUCGUAGGCGGUUUGUCGCGUCGGGAGUGAAAUCCACUGGCUUAACUGGUGGCUUGCUUUCGAUACGGGCAGACUGGAGGUAUGCAGGGGAGAACGGAAUUCCUGGUGUAGCGGUGAAAUGCGCAGAUAUCAGGAGGAACACCGGUGGCGAAGGCGGUUCUCUGGGCAUGUCCUGACGCUGAGGAGCGAAAGUGUGGGGAGCGAACAGG